This 311-nucleotide long non-coding RNA is filed under the name Mus pahari (shrew mouse). RNAcentral describes it as "lncRNA (MGP_PahariEiJ_G0006346.1)". The record is from RNAcentral. Lineage: Eukaryota; Metazoa; Chordata; Mammalia; Rodentia; Muridae.
AUGUGCUUCCGAAGUCUUGUACUGAAUUUUGACGGGAAUAACUUAGUCCAAAUUAGAGUCUAAAAGCCAUUUUAACUAAAUUUGAAGCCCAGAGAACGGUUAAUGUGAAAGGACGUGACAACAUCCCUCAGUGGACGUCACAUUUGGUGGUCAAUUCUGGGACCAGUCUCUUCAGGGUUGGAACAAGGAUGUACUGAAGACAUUAUCCCUGAGGAGAGACAGUGGUCCCACAGAAAGGGAGAGGCGGCAACAUCCCAGUAUGCAGAGGACACCCUGAAGAAGCCACAAUAAAAACAGGAGAAUCCGUUAGA